RNAcentral lists this RNase P RNA (178 nucleotides) under Actinomycetota bacterium. RNAcentral describes it as "partial RNase P RNA component class A". It matches the Rfam family "Bacterial RNase P class A", at positions 149 to 367 of the family's 367-position model. Rfam says of the family: Ribonuclease P (RNase P) is a ubiquitous endoribonuclease, found in archaea, bacteria and eukarya as well as chloroplasts and mitochondria. Its best characterised activity is the generation of mature 5'-ends of tRNAs by cleaving the 5'-leader elements of precursor-tRNAs. Cellular RNase Ps are ribonucleoproteins. Lineage: Bacteria; Bacillati; Actinomycetota. The record is from RNAcentral.
UAAGGGUGAAAAGGUGGGGUAAGAGCCCACCAGCGUCGUGGCGACACGGCGGCUAGCCAAACCCCGUCCGGUGCAAGGCAAACAGGUCCCGCCAUCAGGCGGCCCGCCGAGGGACCGGGUUGCUGCAAAGAGGGAUGGUCACCACAAACAGAAUCCGGCUUACAGGCCUGCUACGGAA